UUAAGCAUUUCCUUCGAGUUUUUGGCGAUGGGAGCUCCAGAUAAUCAACCGGUGCUUAGGGCUCAUAUAUACCGGACAACAGCGCCUCACCUCGGCCAGUCUUGCUGAAAAUCACAGUAGUGUUUGUAGUGUUUAAACUGUGGAUAAAAUUCAUUUCGGGUCCAUUUAAAAGGCAAUCUUUGGUCUUAUAAGUAUGUAAGCAGUGUUUCUUUGUAUAAUUUAUUUGUAAUUCGUAAAUAUUAAUUACAGUAAGGAUUAAUACGAACUGGGUUUGGACGUAACUUCAGCUUUAGGACCUUAGGAGGUCGCAUAUCUAGGAUGCAUUUGUCAUCAAGACUGUCUUAUUUCAGCAUAUUAACAAGUUGACUUUUAUUCUUAGUUAAUCGUAAAUUGUUGUAAUAUGCGUAUGACUUGCGAAUGUUAUACUUAGUUAACUUAAACAAACCAGGCUUAAUGGAGAAUGCAGUCUGCACAGUCUGAACCUUCGAACUCAGAAACGGGCUGCAAUUGGUUGUCCAGCUGUAACUCAUUUUAAGUGACAGAAAAACUGACCAAUCAUAUUGUUCAUCUGAAUGGGUGGGUUCUCUUAAUCCACUCGCUCGCUCUGAGGACUUUCGUGUUUUAAAGAUAAGUGUGACUUUACUGCGGUCUUUUUCGGUUUAUUUAGUUUCGUGUUAGUUAUAUACACAAAGUAUUCGAUUAAAAUGUUAAUGUAAAACUAUUAUCCGCUGUAAAUUAAUUGUGUGUUCAAUUGCGAAGUUCGCGUGGCUGACUGAAUUGUUUGACAAAGGCGUCUUACUGGAGUUAUCUGCUGCCCUCCGAAACUUGAAGCAAAACUGAAGGGAAAUGUAACGUUAUUCAUUUAAUUCCACAAAAGGCAACGUGAAACAUUGCUGAGGGAGAACUAACGUAUAUUCAUAACAAAAGGAUAAUGAUGAAGAGGCGGGACUUGGGCAGCUUGUGAUGGCUGUAAUUGUAAAGAAUGGAUCUUCUAGGAGUGGAAGCCCAAGGGAUGCUGGAAUUGUUAUCGAGGCCUUAAAGUUGUUCCCAGGGCAGGCUUUAUCCUCAUUGGAUUGGAUCGUUGCAUUGAAUCUCCAGUAUCCCAGGCAUCUUUUCAGGUGUUUCAGAAACUUUUCUUGGAGCUGGAUUCUUCAACGUUUAUAAACUGAUUACAGUACAGUAAGUCUAAACUGCUGUCUGAUUUUCUGGGUGUGAAUCAAUGUAACAGAACACAAACAUGGAACCUUUCGACGGGAAAUGUGGACAGUUUUCUCUAAAGACUGUAAAAUACUUUUUGAAGUUUACACUGUUACAAAUACACCAUUAAAAAUGAGAUGCUUUCCUGUUCUUUUGACUGCAAUAAAAUAAGAAUUGAUUCAUCUUUGUCUGUCAUUCUGAAAUUAGAUAUAAUACUCAUUACUAAUAAUAUUAUUAAUGGAUGAUGUUAAAUUAAAAUAGUAUAAUUGAAUAGUAUUUAUUGUAUAGUGCUAGGUCUUUGUCCUGUAUACCCAAUAUUUUGUUUAAAUUUAAAUUAAUUUCUAAUUGCAAAUUGCAGUUAACCUAUUUGAAUGGGUUACUAUUAAAGACUUUAUGGUAUGAUUCUAACUCAAUUUUUAUUUGUUGAAUUUAAAUAAUGAUAUUGCUUGUAAUCUGU
Molecule: long non-coding RNA, 1654 nt
Organism: Paramisgurnus dabryanus
Lineage: Eukaryota; Metazoa; Chordata; Actinopteri; Cypriniformes; Cobitidae
Source: RefSeq, a predicted model, not a curated record